This 491-nucleotide ribosomal RNA is filed under the name uncultured bacterium. Its description in RNAcentral is "partial 16S ribosomal RNA". It matches the Rfam family "Bacterial small subunit ribosomal RNA", at positions 29 to 506 of the family's 1533-position model. The record is from RNAcentral.
AGUGAACGCUGGCGGUAGGCCUAACACAUGCAAGUCGAACGGCAGCACAGUAAGAGCUUGCUCUUACGGGUGGCGAGUGGCGGACGGGUGAGGAAUACAUCGGAAUCUACUUUUUCGUGGGGGAUAACGUAGGGAAACUUACGCUAAUACCGCAUACGACCUACGGGUGAAAGCAGGGGAUCUUCGGACCUUGCGCGAUUGAAUGAGCCGAUGUCGGAUUAGCUAGUUGGCGGGGUAAAGGCCCACCAAGGCGACGAUCCGUAGCUGGUCUGAGAGGAUGAUCAGCCACACUGGAACUGAGACACGGUCCAGACUCCUACGGGAGGCAGCAGUGGGGAAUAUUGGACAAUGGGCGCAAGCCUGAUCCAGCCAUACCGCGUGGGUGAAGAAGGCCUUCGGGUUGUAAAGCACUUUUGUUGGGAAAGAAAAGCAGCAGGUUAAUACCCCGCUGUUCUGACGGUACCCAAAGAAUAAGCACCGGCUAACUUCGU